RNAcentral lists this unclassified non-coding RNA (268 nucleotides) under Waitea circinata. Its description in RNAcentral is "partial internal transcribed spacer region". The stretch from base 1 to 46 matches the Rfam family "Eukaryotic small subunit ribosomal RNA", at positions 1786 to 1831 of the family's 1831-position model. Lineage: Eukaryota; Fungi; Basidiomycota; Agaricomycetes; Corticiales; Corticiaceae. The record is from RNAcentral.
AAGUCGUAACAAGGUUUCCGUAGGUGAACCUGCGGAAGGAUCAUUAAUGAACUUGUGGUUGUUGCUGGCUAGUGUCUCUAGCAUGUGCACACGCACCUUCAUCCCAUUUACACCUGUGCACCUUUUGUAGUAGUGUUUUGAAAGGGGGGAAGUUAACUCUCUCUUCUGGAUCUCCUACUACGUUUUUUACACACACACAAAUAGUCAUUGAAUGUCAUUUGAUUUUAUAUUGAAAAAACAACUUUCAACAACGGAUCUCUUGGCUCUC